This 253-nucleotide ribosomal RNA is filed under the name uncultured bacterium. RNAcentral describes it as "partial 16S ribosomal RNA". It matches the Rfam family "Bacterial small subunit ribosomal RNA", at positions 524 to 776 of the family's 1533-position model. The record is from RNAcentral.
UACGAAGGUGGCAAGCGUUGUUCGGAUUUACUGGGCGUACAGGGAGCGUAGGCGGUUGGAUAAGCCCUCCGUGAAAUCUCCAGGCUUAACCUGGAAAGUGCAGAGGGGACUGUUCAGCUAGAGGAUGGGAGAGGAGCGCGGAAUUCCCGGUGUAGCGGUGAAAUGCGUAGAGAUCGGGAGGAACACCGGUGGCGAAGGCGGCAUCCUGGACCAAUUCUGACACUGAGGAGCGAAAGCCAGGGGAGCAAACGGG